AUUUUUCAUAUUUUGAAGCCCAUAUUGGUCCCUGGUCCUUAUCAAGUUUUUUUUUUUUUAAUUUUUUUUAUUUACUUUUUUACUGGAGAAAGGAGAAUCAGCUGGAUCUAACACCCUCUAUGGCAACCACUAAAUCAUCAAAUUUGGCUCCUGUCACUUCCCUUACAAUCUUGCUGUCCUUGAGAAUCUUGAAAGUAGGCACCACCCUUAUGCCAAGCUCCUUUGCCAAUGGCUUGUUAUCUUUGUUGCAAUCAAGCUUUAAGAAGACAACAUCAAGGUACUUCUGUGACAAAUCUUUAAAUUUGGGAGCCAUCACCUUACAAGGUCCACACCAUUGAGUGUACAUGUCAAGGACGACAAUCUUAUCGCCGGCGGACUUGACGAUGGGCCAGAAGGUAUCCUUGGUGACCUCAGUAACCUGUCCCACAGUAGCUGUAGGACCCACAGUAUCCAAGCUCGACCUCACCGUGAAAGCGCAACCGUUCCUCUUCACAUCAUCCUUCAGAGACAGUGAAAAUCUGCUUCUCGAGCUAGAGUUUAACAGCUUAGAAGAAGAAGAAGAAGAAGAAGAAGAAAGAGAGAAUGAGUCUUUGGUGACGGAGGAGGACACGAUCGGGUGCAAUGGGGAGCUGGGGAAGGAGGAGGGCGAGGAGCGAACGGAAGUGAUAGGAGAGAUUGAGAAUUGGAUCAAAGACAUCGUGCGAUAGAGAGAAUUAAUUUGAGAGAGAAAAUGGUGGUGGAGAUUUCAAGGAGUUGCAGAGAGGACAGGGAGCGAACGGAAGUGAUAGGAGAGAUUG
RNAcentral lists this unclassified non-coding RNA (797 nucleotides) under Hevea brasiliensis (rubber tree). The record is from RNAcentral. Lineage: Eukaryota; Viridiplantae; Streptophyta; Magnoliopsida; Malpighiales; Euphorbiaceae.